UACGGAGGGGGCUAGCGUUGCUCGGAAUGACUGGGCGUAAAGCGCGCGUAGGCGGAACGGUAAGUUGGGGGUGAAAGCCCAGGGCUCAACCCUGGAACGGCCUUCAAGACUGCCGAUCUGGAGUUCGGGAGAGGUGGGUGGAAUUCCGAGUGUAGAGGUGAAAUUCGUAGAUAUUCGGAGGAACACCAGUGGCGAAGGCGGCCCACUGGCCCGACACUGACGCUGAGGCGCGAAAGCGUGGGGAGCAAACAGG
RNAcentral lists this ribosomal RNA (253 nucleotides) under uncultured bacterium. Its description in RNAcentral is "partial 16S ribosomal RNA". It matches the Rfam family "Bacterial small subunit ribosomal RNA", at positions 524 to 776 of the family's 1533-position model. The record is from RNAcentral.